UAAAAAUUUAGUAAAAAUUUUGAUUGGAAAAAAAUGCAUCGAUGAGGGGGUGUGGGAAAUGGAAAUUAGUGGCUUUUCUGCUGUACUGUCUGCUAGUCAAGUCACACAACACUUUUUUCUAUGCUGCUAGUUUUUGCUCUGGGCUCUGGCUGGAUCUCUUGUUUAAACAAUUUUAAUCAGCUGAAAGUGGCCUACAAAAAAAAACCAAGAAGGAAAUGUAUAGCCUUGUGGCUAUGAAAGGCAAAAGAGAGAUAUAAAAAGUGUAUUGGCUAGUUGGAAGAAAGUCCACAUUGUCCAUGCAUAAUAAGUUAUUACUUUAUCAACAAAUAUCAAGAAGAUAGCAGGGUCACGAGCAACAACUUCAUAAGUUCAAGAAUAUCGAGGAAAUCCAGCUCCUCGAUACUACUGCGCAAACUAGAAGAUUGAAGAGGACAAAGCCUUUUGAACUAGUUUGAGUGAUAGGUGAUAGUGAAAAACGGAGCAUAGUGCUUGUGUGCUGUGCCUGUGUAUGUUAGAAUAGUGCACGAUCUUGUUAGAUUAGAUAAGAGACGCUAUGGGGUAAGCUCUUCAUUUUAAGAAACAGUAGUAAUUUAGGUUAAAUUAAAAUUGCUCAUUGGUCAGUUAUGACCAGAUUGUUUUUUUAUGUUUGGCAAAAAGGACUUAAGUCAGAAUUGCACAUUGAUAAUGUUUUGAUGAUUUCUGGACCAGAAAAAAACUGUUGUAGAUGUAAACUGUAUGCACAGUAGAAUCUACUACAGUACUGUAGAAAUCAUCAAAACAUUAUCGAUGUGCAAUUCUGACUUAAGCCCUUUUUCCCAAACAUCAGAGAAUUGUAAUGUACAAUAAUUCUCCUAUCUGCUUUUUCAUGAAUUUUGUAGGAGAUGAAAAACCAUUUUUAGGAUCAUCUGCUUUCACAUGUAAAUUUUGACAUGUUUUGUAGUAAAUAGAUAGUUGAAUUUACUACAAAACAUGUCAAAAAAUAUAUGAAAACAGGAGGUGACUAUAAAAAAAGUUUUUAGUCUCUCUUACAAAACUCAUGAAAAAACAAAUCGGAGGUAUGUCACAUCAGUGACUAUAUCCAGGGAAUGUCUAAAAAAUAUACUUUGAUGUCCCAAGAACCAAAUAUAACCUACAGUCCAUCUAAUUUACUUACUGUUGCAGGUCAUUAUCUACGCCAGAGAUCUAAGUUGACAUAGUUGCCAAAGUAUAAAAAGAUCCUGAAUCCAUUUUAAAUCAAAUAUAUCACAUAAUUAUUGUAAACGUGGAUUAUACAACAAAACAAAUUAAUAUUCAAUGUAAAUAAGUAAAAACUUAAGAAAUAGAGAACAAGAAUUAAGUUAUAAUCUUUUAAGAUUUGCAGUGCAAGAGUUUUUGCACUGCAUUGUUAAUAAUUAAAAAACGGCUCCGAACUCUUGGCAAAAAGCUGGUAGGUUUCUUUGUAUAAAAUGUCUACAAUAACAACUAAAAAAGUUGUCAGAUACCUCGAUUAUUCCAAGUCGUUAUAAAAUUAGGUGAAAUUUAUAUUUUUAUAGUAGAGGAUCUUUUUAUAGUAAAGUAAAUAAUAAAAACAGUAAAUAUAAUAAAUAAAACAGAUACUUAUAGUAAAGAAUAUAAACAAAUAUGAAGUGUCAUCACCGUAACUGUCAAAUAAAUGUUACCAAUUUAUUCUAAAAUGUCACCUUCGUUCGAUUACAGUUACAGUGUGAUCCAAACAAAUCUGCUUCAUAAAAACGCUUUAUAAUCCAUUUAUACAAAUUAAAUGAAACAUAUUAUUGUGUAUUUCUUUAGGUUAACAUUAAUAGAAAUCUUCAAAUAUUAUUUCUACGCGUAUAUAAUAAAAUAUGUCUAGUGGCUGUAAUUCCAUUGUACUCGGCAAAGUGAUUCUAAAAAAGAACACACCUACCGCCUAAAUAUUUCAGUUAAAAUAAAUAACAGUUAGUAAAUUAGACGAAGUAUGUAGAUAUAUACAGGGUGUAACAAAAAUACAGGUCAUAAAUUUAAUCACAUAUUCUGGGACCAAAAAUAGUUUGAUUGGACCUAACUUACCUUAGUACAAAUGUGCACACAAGAAAAGUUACAGCCCUUUGAAGUUAUAUAUAUAUAUAUUAUAGCACUAAGGGCCUUAGAGGCCCAUGGCUUGAAAAGUUUGUUUUUUUCUUCAUUUUCACGUUUCUUUAUGUACUGAGAUCUUCUCUGGCUUGAUAUGUGAUUUUUCUCCAUUCCUUCCUGUUAUUCAUUUUUCUUUUCUGACCCUGUAGCACCAUUCUUUCCAAAUCUUUUUCGACCUCUUGCUUCCAUCUAUUUUUCGGCCUUCCUCUUCUCUUUCUUGAAGCUGUAGUGUAGUUUAGUACCAUUUUUGGAGUCCUCGUGUUUGGCAUCCUUUCAAUGUGACCUCGCCAUCUAAGUCUCUGUGCCUUUAUCACUCAUUUGAAGUUACAAGAUGAAGUGAUUUUUUCCAAUAUAUCGAAAACUAUUAGAGAUUUUUUAUUGAAAAUGGACAUGUGGCAUUAUUAUGGCAGCAGUAUCUUACGAAAAAACUAUAGUAAAAUUUGGACACCCCAUAAAAAUACUUUGGGGGUUUUGUUCCUUUAAACCCCCCCAAACUUUUGUGCACGUUUCAAUUUAAUUAUUAUUGUAGUACCAUUUAAACACAACGUUUUAAAAACUUUUUUGCCUCUUAUUGCUUUUUCGAAAAGUCAAUUUUUAUCGAAAUAUUUUGAAUAUUUGUCAAAUCCACCACAUAUUUGUAUAUGGUUAAGUACGAUUAUGAAGACUUGGUAAUAAUAUGCAGACUUAUUUAUGCUUUACAUUUUUAGGUAUAUUUUGAACCAUAUUAAAAAAGAAGCCAGAUCUCGAUAAAAUGUGCCUUAUCGAAAAAAUACAAAGAGGCAAAAAAGUUUUAAAAACAUUCUGUUUAACUAAUGGUACCUCAGUAAUAGUUUAAUUGGAACGUACACAAACAUUUGGGGGGUUUAAAGGAACAAAACCCCCAUAAAAUUUUUAUGUAGACAUGUUAAAAAAGAAGUCGCAACUCGAUAAAAACUGCCUUAUCUGAAAAAUACUAAGAAACAAAAAUAUUGAAUUUAACUAAUGGUACCACAAUAAUAAAAUUGAAUUGGAACAUACACAAAAGUUUGGGAGGAUCUAAGGGAUCAAGACCCCCAUAAAAUUUUUAUGGGGUGCACAAAUUUCACCAUAAUUUUUCUGUAAGAUAUUCCUGCCAUAAUACUGCCACAUGUCCAUUUUCAAUAAAAAAUCGCUAAUAGUUUUCGAUAUAAUCGAAAAAAUCGAUUUUCAUUUUGUAAUUUCAAAGGGCUGUAACUUUUUUUAUGUGCAUAUUUGUACUAAGGUAAGUUAGGUUCAUUCGAACUAUUUUUGGUCCCAGAAUAUGUGAUUUAAUUUAUGACGUGUAUUUUUGUUACACCCUGUAUAUACAACCGAUUACCCACCACCUUAAAAAUUGGGCAUUUUUGAUGUCUCGAAUUUCCUAAACCUGUUGUUGCAUCUAAGUGAUUUUUUUAUAAUAUUCUAGCCUAGGCCCUAGGCUAUAGGUUAAGUACCUCCUUAUGCUUGUCAUGCACGGGGAGCUAUACUGUAAUAUAUAUUAUAUCACAUCGCACUCUAUAGUAAUGAGUGAGCCUGCACAUACGGAACCAUUUGUUUCCUGUCUGCAGGCUCACUCAUUACUAUAGAGAGCGAUAUGAUAUAAUGUACAUAUAUUACAGCAUAGCUCCCUGUGCAUGACAAGCUUAAGGAGGUAACCUAUAGCCUAGGCUAUAAUAUUAUAAAAAAAUCACUUAGAUGAAACAACAGGUUUAGGAAAUACGAGACAUCAAAAAUACCCCAUAUUUAAGGUGGUGCGUUAAUUUCUUGGAGAAGUGUAUUGUAAUUUAAUGUAAAUAAUGUAAUAUCCAAUAAUUGUAAUUUAAUAUAAGAUGUAAUAUAAGUUCCUUAAAAAAUAUAUUUUUUAUUUCCCACGACAUUAGAUGGAUGUUCGGCAGCAAGACAUUGGACCAAACUGGGACGUCCUGUGAAGGCCAAUUGACGUCCACCGAACGUCCCUUCGGAUGUUAAGUGGACCUCCAUUGGGCGUUUGGCAACGUGGCAUUUGGACCAAAAUUGGACGUCCUGUUAAGGUCCAAUUCACGUCCCCUAGAACAUCCGGUUAAGGUCCAAUUUACUUCCGAUUAAGGUCCAAUUUACGUCCGAUUAAGGUCCCAUUUACGUCCGAUUAAGGUCCAAUUUACGUCCUAUUAAGGUCCAAUUUACGUCCGGUUAAGGUCCAAUUUACGUCCGAUUAAGGUCCCAUUUACGUCCCAUUAAGGUCCAAUUUACGUCCUCUUAAGGUCCAAUUUACGUCCGAUUAAGGUCCAAUUUACGUCCGAUUAAGGUCCAAUUUAUGUCCGAUUAAGGUCCAAUUUACGUCCGAUUAAGGUCCAAUUUACGUCCGAUUAAGGUCCAAUUUACGUCCGAUUAAGGUCCAAUUUACGUCCCCUAGGACGUCCGAUCAAGGUCCAAAUUACGUCCGAUUAAGGUCCAAUAUACGUCCCCUCGGACCUUAGAUGGACGUCCAAUGGACGUUCGGUAGCGCGACAUUUGGACCAAAAUAGGACGUAUAAAGGACGUUCCUCGGACGAAAACGGAC
RNAcentral lists this long non-coding RNA (4645 nucleotides) under Diabrotica virgifera virgifera (western corn rootworm). RNAcentral's name for it is "uncharacterized LOC126890717". The record is from RNAcentral. Lineage: Eukaryota; Metazoa; Arthropoda; Insecta; Coleoptera; Chrysomelidae.